GCCGGAAUAGCUCAGUUGGUAGAGCAGGGGACUGAAAAUCCUCGUGUCACCAGUUCAAAU
RNAcentral lists this transfer RNA (60 nucleotides) under Frullania junghuhniana. RNAcentral describes it as "partial tRNA-Phe". It matches the Rfam family "tRNA", at positions 1 to 58 of the family's 71-position model. Rfam says of the family: Transfer RNA (tRNA) molecules are approximately 80 nucleotides in length. Their secondary structure includes four short double-helical elements and three loops (D, anti-codon, and T loops). Further hydrogen bonds mediate the characteristic L-shaped molecular structure. tRNAs have two regions of fundamental functional importance: the anti-codon, which is responsible for specific mRNA codon recognition, and the 3' end, to which the tRNAs corresponding amino acid is attached (by aminoacyl-tRNA synthetases). tRNAs cope with the degeneracy of the genetic code in two manners: having more than one tRNA (with a specific anti-codon) for a particular amino acid; and 'wobble' base-pairing, i.e. permitting non-standard base-pairing at the 3rd anti-codon position. Lineage: Eukaryota; Viridiplantae; Streptophyta; Jungermanniopsida; Porellales; Frullaniaceae. RNAcentral also lists the same sequence under 1 other name. The record is from RNAcentral.